AAACUUUCAACAACGGAUCUCUUGGUUCUGGCAUCGAUGAAGAACGCARCGAAAUGCGAUAAGUAGUGUGAAUUGCAGAAUUCRGUGAAUCAUCKAAUCUUUGAACGCACAUUGCGCCCCUUGKUAUGGCGAGGGGCAUGCCUGAACGAGCGUCAUUU
This 158-nucleotide ribosomal RNA is filed under the name Cenococcum geophilum. Its description in RNAcentral is "5.8S ribosomal RNA". It matches the Rfam family "5.8S ribosomal RNA". Rfam says of the family: 5.8S ribosomal RNA (5.8S rRNA) is a component of the large subunit of the eukaryotic ribosome. Lineage: Eukaryota; Fungi; Ascomycota; Dothideomycetes; Gloniales; Gloniaceae. The record is from RNAcentral.